This 164-nucleotide ribosomal RNA is filed under the name uncultured bacterium. RNAcentral's name for it is "partial 16S rRNA". It matches the Rfam family "Bacterial small subunit ribosomal RNA", at positions 355 to 511 of the family's 1533-position model. The record is from RNAcentral.
UAGGGAAUCUUCCACAACGGGCGAAAGCCUGAUGGAGCAACGCCGCGUGUGUGAUGAAGGGUUUCGGCUCGUAAAACACUGUUGUAAGAGAAGAAUGACAUUGAGAGUAACUGUUCAAUGUGUGACGGUAUCUUACCAGAAAGGAACGGCUAAAUACGUGUCAG